RNAcentral lists this long non-coding RNA (454 nucleotides) under Amborella trichopoda. RNAcentral's name for it is "long non-coding RNA (ATRI_LNC003245)". The record is from RNAcentral. Lineage: Eukaryota; Viridiplantae; Streptophyta; Magnoliopsida; Amborellales; Amborellaceae.
AUCGGUUCAAAAACCGGGAAUCGUCCGGUUCUAGAGAGAACCGGACGAUUCCGCACAGUGACUCGCCGAUUCACUGUGCAGAAUCGGCGAGUCCGUGAAGAACACGGGUUGCACAGUGUUCUUCACAGAUUUUUUUCAAAUUUGUCAUUUUUUUUGUUUUUUUCGGCACGUGAUCUGUUUUGCAGGCUGUAAACAGCUUUAUUCAGCUUUUUCAACGAUUUAAUGGUGGAAAAAUUGGUUGUUUUUGGAUCAAGAAAAAUUCGGGGUUUAGGGUUUCCGCCAUUUCUGAAAUUUCAUGCCAAAUAGGGCAUGAAUCUUUCAAAAUUUGUAGGCAUAUUGAUCUUAAAGCUGUGAAUCAAAAGAUUUUGUUACUAAUUUGUGAUAAUCGUUGAGAAAAACAGAUUUUUUUGGAGAUUGAAGGCUUCGGUUCACAAAAUCAGGUAAGAACUUUGGG